UGCUCCAUUCCAUCUGCCUCCUUUCGUUCCAAGACCUCCAUUCCAGCUGCCGCCUUUCAAUCCAAGACCUUUGCCACCUUUCAAUCCAAGACCACCAUUCCACUUGCCACCUUUCAAUCCAAGGCCACUCCCACCUUUCUUCCGUCCGCCACCCUUCUCUCCACCUCAAAAGGAUUAAAAGGAUUAAAUUUAUCAUCGAGUUCUAUGUUGGGAG
Molecule: long non-coding RNA, 214 nt
Filed under: Selaginella moellendorffii
Lineage: Eukaryota; Viridiplantae; Streptophyta; Lycopodiopsida; Selaginellales; Selaginellaceae
Description: long non-coding RNA (SMOE_LNC000928)
Source: RNAcentral